GAACGAACGCUGGCGGCGUGCCUAACACAUGCAAGUCGUGCGAGAAAGUUCCUUCGGGAGCGAGUAAAGCGGCGCACGGGUGAGUAACACGUAGGUAACCUGCCCCCCCAGUCUGGAACAACUAGAGGAAACUCUAGCUAAUGCCGGAUGAGACCACGAUCCCUUCGGGGGUUGCGGCCAAAGAUGGCCUCUACUUGUAAGCUAUCGCUGAGGGAUGGGCCUGCGGGCCAUUAGCUUGUUGGUGAGGUAACGGCUCACCAAGGCUGUGAUGGCUAGCUGGUCUGAGAGGAUGACCAGCCACACUGGGACUGAGACACGGCCCAGACUCCUACGGGAGGCAGCAGUGGGGAAUAUUGGACAAUGGGCGAAAGCCUGAUCCAGCAAUGCCGCGUGAGUGAUGAAGGCCUUAGGGUUGUAAAGCUCUUUUACCCGGGAUGAUAAUGACAGUACCGGGAGAAUAAGCCCCGGCUAACUCCGUG
RNAcentral lists this ribosomal RNA (479 nucleotides) under uncultured bacterium. RNAcentral's name for it is "bacterial SSU rRNA". It matches the Rfam family "Bacterial small subunit ribosomal RNA", at positions 27 to 507 of the family's 1533-position model. The record is from RNAcentral.